RNAcentral lists this ribosomal RNA (402 nucleotides) under uncultured Methanomicrobiales archaeon. Its description in RNAcentral is "bacterial SSU rRNA". It matches the Rfam family "Archaeal small subunit ribosomal RNA", at positions 938 to 1338 of the family's 1478-position model. Lineage: Archaea; Methanobacteriati; Methanobacteriota; Methanomicrobia; Methanomicrobiales. The record is from RNAcentral.
GACAGCUGAAUGAUAGUCGGGCUGAAGACUCUACUUGACUAGCUGAGAGGAGGUGCAUGGCCGUCGUCAGUUCGUACUGUGAGGCAUCCUGUUAAGUCAGGCAACGAGCGAGACCCACGCCAACAGUUGCCAGCUCGUCCUCCGGGAUGGUGGGGACACUGUUGGGACCGCCUCUGCUAAAAGAGGAGGAAGGAAUGGGCAACGGUAGGUCAGCAUGCCCCGAAUUAUCUGGGCUACACGCGGGCUACAAUGGGUGGGACAAUGGGUAUCGACACCGAAAGGUGACGGGAAUCUCCUAAAACCAAUCUUAGUUCGGACUGAGGGCUGCAACUCGCCCUCAUGAAGCUGGAGUCCGUAGUAAUCGCGUUUCAACAGAACGCGGUGAAUACGUCCCUGCUCCUU